CCUACGGGUGGCAGCAGUGGGGGAUAUUGCACAAUGGGGGAAACCCUGAUGCAGCGACGCCGCGUGGGUGAAGAAGUAUUUCGGUAUGUAAAGCCCUAUCAGCAGGGAAGAAAGAAGACGGUACCUGACUAAUAAGCCCCGGCUAACUACGUGCCAGCAGCCGCGGUAAUACGUAGGGGGCGAGCGUUAUCCGGAUUCACUGGGUGUAAAGGGAGCGUAGACGGCCGUGCAAGCCAGGAGUGAAAGCCCGGGGCCCAACCCCGGGACUGCGCUUGGAACUGUGCGGCUGGAGUGCGGGAGGGGCAGGCGGAAUGCCUGGUGUAGCGGUGAAAUGCGUAGAUAUCAGGAGGAACACCGGCGGCGAAGGCGGCCUGCUGGACCGCGACUGACGUUGAGGCUCGAAAGCGUGGGGAGCGAACAGGAUUAGAUACCCGAGUAGUC
Molecule: ribosomal RNA, 441 nt
Filed under: uncultured bacterium
Lineage: Bacteria
Description: partial 16S ribosomal RNA
Rfam family: Bacterial small subunit ribosomal RNA
Source: RNAcentral